Molecule: unclassified non-coding RNA, 348 nt
Filed under: soil metagenome
Description: partial contains 5.8S ribosomal RNA, internal transcribed spacer 2, and large subunit ribosomal RNA
Rfam family: 5.8S ribosomal RNA (bases 1-120)
Source: RNAcentral
GAUGAAGAACGUAGCGAAAUGCGAUAAGUAAUGUGAAUUGCAGAAUUCAGUGAAUCAUCGAGUCUUUGAACGCACAUUGCGCCCCCUGGUAUUCCGGGGGGCAUGCCUGUCCGAGCGUCAUUGCCGCCCUCAAGCACGGCUUGUGUGUUGGGCCCCCGCCCCCCGGCUUGGGGGGGCGGGCCCGAAAGGCAGCGGCGGCACCGCGUCCGGUCCUCGAGCGUAUGGGGCUUCGUCACCCGCUCUGUAGGCCCGGCCGGCGCCCGCCGGCGACCCCAAUCAAUCUUUCCAGGUUGACCUCGGAUCAGGUAGGGAUACCCGCUGAACUUAAGCAUAUCAAUAAGCGGAGGA